AUGUCGUACGACCUCGCGUACGCUCCUGCAACGUUUCAAGGAGUUGUCGACACGGUGCUCGAGCCAGUCCUUCGCCACGGGGUUUUGGCAUUCAUGGACGAGAUCUUGAUCCACUCUGAGGACCUAGAAGAGCAUCCGCGGCUGCUAGCACGCGUCCUGCAGCUAUUGUGUGAAAAGGACCUCAAGGCCAAGAUGUCCAAAUGCAUGUUCGCUCAGCAGGAAAUCAGUUACCUGGGGCACGUCAUCAGUGACAAAGGGGUAGCCACGGACAAGAGCAAGAUUCAAGCAGUGCAAGAAUGGCCGCAGUCGCAGAAUGUCAAGGAGUUGCGCGGAUUCUUGGGGCUGGCCGGUUAUUACCUGAAAUUUGUCCGCUUCUUCGGAGUGCUCAGCAAGCCCCUCACCAAAAUGUUGAAGAAAGGGGCAAUUUUUGUCUGGACACCGACGGCUAAAGCCGCGUUCUCUGCGCUGAAACAAGCUCUGGUGCAGGUCCCGGUGCUUGCACUGCCAGACUUCCGGAAGCAAUUCAUCGUCGAAACGGACGCGAGUGCCAUGGGAAUUGGCGUAGUCCUGACAAGGAGGGCAUCCGGUUGCGUACCUCAGCAAAGUGUUGGCUCCAUGAAAUUUAGGCCUCUCAGCAUACGCGAAAGAGUGCCUGGCUCUGCUUCUGGCCAUCGACCACUGGCGGCCCUACCAGCAGCAUUCAGAGUUCGUGGUCCGUACCGAUCAAAAGAGCCUGCUAAACCUGACGGAUCAACGGCUCAACACCCCAAUUCAGCAAAGGGCGUUUACGAAGCUGAUUGGCCUGCAAUACACCAUUCAGUACAAAACAGGAGUGACAAAUCGAGCAGUUGA
RNAcentral lists this ribosomal RNA (852 nucleotides) under Triticum aestivum (bread wheat). RNAcentral's name for it is "partial small subunit ribosomal RNA". The record is from RNAcentral. Lineage: Eukaryota; Viridiplantae; Streptophyta; Magnoliopsida; Poales; Poaceae.